GUAAAAGUCGUAACAAGGUCUCCGUAGGUGAACCUGCGGAGGGAUCAUUACACAAAUAUGAAGGCGGGCUGGAACCUCUCGGGGUUACAGCCUUGCUGAAUUAUUCACCCUUGUCUUUUGCGUACUUCUUGUUUCCUUGGUGGGUUCGCCCACCACUAGGACAAACAUAAACCUUUUGUAAAUGCAAUCAGCGUCAGUAACAAAUUAAUAAUUACAACUUUCAACAACGGAUCUCUUGGUUCUGGCAUCGACGAAGAACGCAGCGAAAUGCGAUAAGUAGUGUGAAUUGCAGAAUUCAGUGAAUCAUCGAAUCUUUGAACGCACAUUGCGCCCUUUGGUAUUCCAAAGGGCAUGCCUGUUCGAGCGUCAUUUGUACCCUCAAGCUUUGCUUGGUGUUGGGCGUCUUGUCUCUAGCUUUGCUGGAGACUCGCCUUAAAGUAAUUGGCAGCCGGCCUACUGGUUUCGGAGCGCAGCACAAGUCGCACUCUCUAUCAGCAAAGGUCUAGCAUCCAUUAAGCCUUUUUUUCAACNNUUGACCUCGGAUCAGGUAGGGAUACCC
This 559-nucleotide ribosomal RNA is filed under the name uncultured fungus. Its description in RNAcentral is "eukaryotic LSU rRNA". The stretch from base 216 to 369 matches the Rfam family "5.8S ribosomal RNA". The record is from RNAcentral. Lineage: Eukaryota; Fungi.